Small nucleolar RNA from Anguilla rostrata (American eel), 128 nucleotides. RefSeq annotates it as small nucleolar RNA SNORA47. The record is from RefSeq and is a predicted model, not a curated record. NCBI's taxonomy places the organism in Eukaryota, Metazoa, Chordata, Actinopteri, Anguilliformes, Anguillidae. The transcript has a single exon.
UGGAGGACUGAGAAGGUUGGGCAGCUGUAUACCAGUGCUACCUCAACUGGUUAUAGCCUCCAAGAUCAAAUCUCAGGUACAGUAGCUCAGCCUGAAAGCCUUUGGAGGUAGGCUGUGUGCUGUAUGUG